CAGCUGCCCCGGCCCGUGUCACCAGCCUGCAGGUGACAGAUAUACGGAGAGACUCGGUGACACUCACCUGGACCCCUAUCCCUGGUGCCUCUGGCUACAUCCUCUCCUGGAGUCCCCCAGCAGGUGAGAUGGGUGGGUGGCCCCAGGACAUGGAACAGUGUCCUGGCGGGUGCUUGCCAUCCCCCCUGACUCUGUCCCCUGGGUGUCAGCCGGUGGGGAGACGAGGCGGACGCUGCCUGGUGCUGCCAGCUCCCAGCAAGUCUCCGGGCUGCGCCUGGGCCAGCGCUACACCUUCACCCUCCGCCCGCUCCUGGGGAGCACACCGGGCGCUGAGACCUCCGUCAGCGAGCGCACAGGUACGGUGGGGUGGCUAGGGGGGCUGGCUGGGCUGGUCUCUGCUCUGGUGGUGGAUUCAGCCCUUCCCUGCCCGCAGUCUGCAGGGAUGCCCGCGGUGACAUCGUCUUCCUGGUGCACGGCACACGCGACAGCUCCUCCGGUGCUGAUGCCAUCCGCACCCUCCUCUCCAACACCGUGUCUGCCUUGGGGCGCCUGGGCCCUGAGGGCACCCAGGUGGCUCUGGCCACGUACAGCUACCGCAGCCUGCCCUGGCUGCUCCUCAACCGCUCCAGUGACCUGCCCACCGUGCUGGAGCAGAUCCGCACCAUACGCUAUGAGGAACCCAGCGGCAACGCCAUCGGUGAGGGGCGGCACUGGGAGCCAGGGUAGUGGCUGGUGGGAUCCUGCUGACCAUCUGCCUCGUCCUUCUCCCUCCCUAGGGGCAGCCAUCACCUUUGCCAGGACCUACUUAUUGAGCCCUGGCGCGGGGCGCCGACCCGGUGUGCCAGCAGUGCUGGUGGUCCUGGCUGAUGGACCCUCGGGGGAUGAUGCCAUCACUGCAGCCAGGGAUAUCAAGGCUGGGGGUGAGGAUGGAUGGGGUCCCAGCAGGGUGUGCAGAGGGUUCUGCUGGGUACUGAGGGUGCUCUUGGCUCAGGGGUCCAGGUGCUGGCUGUGAGCUUGGAGGGGGCCGACCGGGAGCAGCUCCGGCGCGUGGUGACCAGUGAGGAUCCACGGUACAUCUAUCAGGAUGGUGGUGCCCUGGCAGAGCUGGAGGGAGAGCUCACCGAUGACCUCUGCACCAUCAUCUCCAUCAGGCCGGAGCCAGAGCCAAAGCCGAAGCCCUGCACCGUGCAAUGCCCCAGGGGCGAGAAGGGAGACCGCGGCGAGGCAGUGAGUGCUUUGGCAUCCCACCCCUGGCUGGUGGCUCUGGGGAGGGGGCUGCAUACCCCAAAGCAUGCUGAUGCCAGCCCACAGGGGGUGCUCACCACUGACUUUGUCUCCACAGGGACCACAAGGACGCAUGGGGCCACCAGGUCCCCCUGGCGAGCCGGUAAUAUCCUGAUGGGGGGAGGGAGAUGGGGGGCAGCUCCCUGGCAGGGGGCAUGGACAUGGUCCCCGCAUCCCCUUGUCCUGCUGGCAGGUGGGUGUGGGCCAGGGACCUGUCCAGCCCUUGACACAGGGGUAGACAGAGAAGAUCCCUUGGCCACCACUUGCCACCCAGCCUCUCCUCUCCGCUGUCACCCCAGGGCCGCUAUGGGCCACCUGGCCCUCCAGGACCCCCAGGGCCACAGGGUCUGCCAGGAGAGAGCGCCGAGAGGCCAGGCAAGAAGGGGGAUAGGGUGA
RNAcentral lists this long non-coding RNA (1680 nucleotides) under Calidris pugnax (ruff). RNAcentral describes it as "lncRNA (ENSCPUG00000016948.1)". Lineage: Eukaryota; Metazoa; Chordata; Aves; Charadriiformes; Scolopacidae. The record is from RNAcentral.